RNAcentral lists this transfer RNA (85 nucleotides) under Felis catus (domestic cat). It matches the Rfam family "tRNA". Rfam says of the family: Transfer RNA (tRNA) molecules are approximately 80 nucleotides in length. The record is from Rfam by way of RNAcentral. Lineage: Eukaryota; Metazoa; Chordata; Mammalia; Carnivora; Felidae. RNAcentral also lists the same sequence under 4 other names.
GCCUGGGUGGCUUAGUCGGUUGAGUGUCUGACUUUGGCUCAGGUCAUGAUCUCGCAGUUCGUGGGUUCGAACCCCGUGUCGGGCU